RNAcentral lists this ribosomal RNA (514 nucleotides) under uncultured bacterium. Its description in RNAcentral is "partial 16S ribosomal RNA". It matches the Rfam family "Bacterial small subunit ribosomal RNA", at positions 28 to 523 of the family's 1533-position model. The record is from RNAcentral.
GAUGAACGCUGGCGGCGUGCCUAAUACAUGCAAGUCGAGCGAACAGAUGAGAAGCUUGCUUCUCUGAUGUUAGCGGCGGACGGGUGAGUAACACGUGGGUAACCUACCUAUAAGACUGGGAUAAAUCCGGGAAACCGGGGCUAAUACCGGAUAAUAUUUUGAACCGCAUGGUUCAAUAGUGAAAGACGGUUUCGGCUGUCACUUAGAGAUGGACCCGCCCCGUAUUAGCUAGUUGGUAAGGUAACGGCUUACCAAGGCGACGAUACGUAGCCGACCUGAGAGGGUGAUCGGCCACACUGGAACUGAGACACGGUCCAGACUCCUACGGGAGGCAGCAGUAGGGAAUCUUCCGCAAUGGGCGAAAGCCUGACGGAGCAACGCCGCGUGAAUGAUGAAGGUCUUCGGAUCGUAAAACUCUGUUGUUAGGGAAGAACAAAUUUGUUAGUAACUGAACAAGUCUUGACGGUACCUAACCAGAAAGCCACGGCUAUCUACGUGCCAGCCGCCGCAGUAA